AUUGAACGCUGGCGGCAGGCCUAACACAUGCAAGUCGAACGGUAACAGGGAUCAGCUUGCUGAUUCGCUGACGAGUGGCGGACGGGUGAGUAAUGUCUGGGAAACUGCCUGAUGGAGGGGGAUAACUACUGGAAACGGUAGCUAAUACCGCAUAACGUCGCAAGACCAAAGAGGGGGACCUUCGGGCCUCUUGCCAUCGGAUGUGCCCAGAUGGGAUUAGCUAGUAGGUGGGUAACGGCUCACCUAGGCGACGAUCCCUAGCUGGUCUGAGAGGAUGACCAGCCACACUGGAACUGAGACACGGUCCAGACUCCUACGGGAGGCAGCAGUGGGGAAUAUUGCACAAUGGGCGCAAGCCUGAUGCAGCCAUGCCGCGUGUAUGAAGAAGGCCUUCGGGUUGUAAAGUACUUUCAGCGGGGAGGAAGGGAGUAAAGUUAAUACCUUUGCUCAUUGACGUUACCCGCAGAAGAAGCACCGGCUAACUCCGUG
RNAcentral lists this ribosomal RNA (489 nucleotides) under uncultured bacterium. RNAcentral's name for it is "partial 16S ribosomal RNA". It matches the Rfam family "Bacterial small subunit ribosomal RNA", at positions 30 to 507 of the family's 1533-position model. The record is from RNAcentral.